Molecule: ribosomal RNA, 666 nt
Filed under: Triticum aestivum (bread wheat)
Lineage: Eukaryota; Viridiplantae; Streptophyta; Magnoliopsida; Poales; Poaceae
Description: partial small subunit ribosomal RNA
Source: RNAcentral
AUGUGGAAAGAUGUGGUGGAUGUGCUAGGAAUUGUUGUGGUUGAUGCUCGGGAACACACAUGUCAAGCCAAGAACUUUUGUGAAACACAUGAUAUUGAUGUGCCAAACAUGGAUGAUCUUGUUGGAACUAUGGGUCAAUCUGUUCGCACUAAGAAUAAAGUGACUCGACCUCACUAUUACAAGGUUAGCAUAUUCAAUGUUGCCAUUGAUGCAACUAUCACUGUGAUGAAUCACCGUUUCAAUCUAUUUUCCACCGAGUUAUUGGAUUGUAUGCCUUGUCUUAAUCCAGCAAACGACCUCUCAAAGUUUAACGUUGACGAACUUAUUCAGCUUGCUGAAAUUUAUGACGAAGACUUUACAGAAAUUGACCCGUUGUUGCUAAGAGUAGGCCUCCCAAGAUUCCUUAUGAACAUUAGGAGAAGUGAGGAAUUUAAUGGAUGUCGGGAUGUCUCCACACUUGCUCGGAUGAUGGUUGAAACAACGAAACACACAACUUUCCAGUUGGUGUAUCGCCUCAUUGAGUUGACACUCAUUCUUCCUGUGGCCACUUCAUCAGUUGAGCAAAUAUUUUCGGCAAUGAAGAUCAUUAAGACAUAUUUGCCCAACAAACUGUCAGAUGUUUGGCUAAAUGAUUUGAUGGUGUGCUAUUGUGAGAGAGAUAUUUAG